RNAcentral lists this ribosomal RNA (595 nucleotides) under Sitona callosus. RNAcentral's name for it is "12S ribosomal RNA". The stretch from base 186 to 589 matches the Rfam family "Microsporidia small subunit ribosomal RNA", at positions 752 to 1304 of the family's 1311-position model. The record is from RNAcentral. Lineage: Eukaryota; Metazoa; Arthropoda; Insecta; Coleoptera; Curculionidae.
AAGUGAUGCAAUAAUAAAAACUUUGGUUUAAUAAUUAAUGGAUUUAUUUUUAGAAUUAAGUAUUGAUUUUAUUAGGUAGAAUUUUAUAAUCAUUAGAGAUUUUUGUGUAGUUUAUGAGGUUAAUAAAUUUAGGUUUUAAACUAGGAUUAGAUACCCUAUUAUUCUUAAUUUAAAUAUUGUUUCCAAGUUAGUAAUAGUUAUAUUCUCGAAAAUUAAGGAAGUUGGCAGUAUUUUAGUCCACUCAGAGGAAUCUGCCCUAUAAUCGAUGGUCCACGAUUUUAUUUACUUAUUUUAUAUAAGUUUGUAUAUCGCCGUAGGUUAAACUCUUUUAAAGAAUUAAGUGUUUAAAAUUUUUUAAAAAUAAAUAAAUCAGGUCAAGGUGUAGCUUAUAAAUAAGAAGAGGUGGAUUACAAUAAAAUUAUUUAUUAUGAAUUAAAAUUUGAAAUUUUUUUAUGAAAGUGGAUUUGAUAGUAAUUUUAUUUAAAUUAAUAAAAUGAUUGAGGCGCUAAAAUAUGUACAUAUUGCCCGUCGCUUUCAUUACAAAGUGAAAUAAGUCGUAACAAAGUAGAGGUACUGGAAAGUGUUUCUAGAAUGA